UACGGAGGGUGCAAGCGUUAUCCGGAUUCACUGGGUUUAAAGGGUGCGUAGGCGGGUAAGUAAGUCCGUGGUGAAAUCUCUGAGCUUAACUCAGAAACUGCCGUGGAUACUAUUUGCCUUGAAUAUUGUGGAGGUGAGCGGAAUAUGUCAUGUAGCGGUGAAAUGCUUAGAUAUGACAUAGAACACCAAUUGCGAAGGCAGCUCACUACACAAUCAUUGACGCUGGGGCACGAAAGCGUGGGGAUCAAACAGG
RNAcentral lists this ribosomal RNA (253 nucleotides) under uncultured bacterium. Its description in RNAcentral is "partial 16S ribosomal RNA". It matches the Rfam family "Bacterial small subunit ribosomal RNA", at positions 524 to 776 of the family's 1533-position model. The record is from RNAcentral.